UUGUAAUUGAUUUAUCGAUAUGCGUACGUUUGCCAAUCGCCUCCGGGCGCCGAGGAAUCCCGACGCGACUACCGCCGGAGUCGAGAUCAAAUCUUCGUUUCGCCGCGAUCGCGAUUCGUUCAUCCGAAUUCUUUCAAGUAUUCGGAAAAAGCUGAUCUAUAAUAUUUGUACAGAUGCGACGGUAAUGGAUCGUUUUCGAUACAAUCCUUACGAUUGCGUUGGAAACCCAACAAUUACGAUAUUUAAGUUUCUUAUUCGCCACAGGAUUUAUACAUCCUAUCGAAUCGAAUUCUAACGUACGCGUCUUUCGUUUACGUGGGAGAGGAAAAAAGAAAAGAAUAUGUAUUCAAUUUGUAAAAUUCGUUCCCAGUGUUUCUCUGUUAAUGACAGCCUUUCUAAUUUAAGAGCGAUCUUUUCAACGUGAAACCGAUCUCGCCGUUUCCGAAUACAACAAUGCUUCUUGCCAUUUUUCUUUCAACCCGCGCACGGUCGUAUUAAUUUCGUGAUCUGAAACCGGAUCUGACGAGGGACGAAACCGGCAAGAAGGCAUUCGCACGCAUUUCUUUGUGCCGGGGCCAGCGAAGUCGCGAAUUAGAAAUGAGGCGGAAGAUGCGUAAUUAAAUCGUUGCGAAACUACUGCAAAUAAGCGACAUAUUCACAGCGUGAAAUAUCUCUCCGCAAUUAUCUCGCGCAGGUGUUCUAGCGUCGGUGGUACAACCGAGGCGGGGGUGAUUCUACAUAUAAGAAACAAAUCGAAGGAAGAAAAUUUGUUCGUUUGAGGUUUCGUUUGAUAAACCCGCGAAAAUGGUGAAACGUGAAAUUACUGCAAGUUUGAAAAAAAAGUAUGAAUUUAUUUAGUUCGCGUAGAAGAAAUAUGUACGAAGAUGAAAGUUUCUUUUGAUUUUUUUUUGUGCCAAACCAAAAUUACGACCUGCAUCUUUCCCGCCGAUAGGAGGUUUUAAUUGUGAGCUGCUCUACAAAUGUGCGUCGCAGACGAAUCAAUUCGAAUAUUUCUUGUUGAACAAAUUUCUACAGACUACUCAAAUAUGUAUGAAAAUAGGAUAAAAAGUUCGAUAGAAU
Molecule: long non-coding RNA, 1080 nt
Organism: Hylaeus volcanicus
Lineage: Eukaryota; Metazoa; Arthropoda; Insecta; Hymenoptera; Colletidae
Exons: 3
Source: RefSeq, a predicted model, not a curated record